UGCCUUACAGGAGUCAUGAUGUUUCUCUUCCCUGUACUUAUUGCAGUUGUACUUGCAUCUUCCGGAUCUGCUGUUGAGUUAAACCAGAAGAUUUUGUCAAUAGUCAAAAGUGAACAAAAAAGUGCAACAUUUAAUUGCGAAGCUACUGGCUUAACCAACUCUUAUAUUCAUUGGUAUCGACAGAAGGCAGAUGGCAAGUUUGAACGCAUUUUAUAUUAUAAUAAAGAUUCAUCAACUACUACUAGGGACCCAGGAUUUACUGACAAGUAUAUAGCUGAAAAGUCUAAUGAUAAUGAGGCCUUUACUCUACGUGUACAUAAGAUAGUAGGUGACGAUGAAGGCACAUAUUACUGUGCACACUGGGAUACCACAGUGGUAAAGAAACAUGGUCUGUCUGCACAAAAUCUGCCAUACUAAUGCUAAUGCUAAGCUGCAGUCUGCAUAACCACAAAAACCUCAUUCGGGGAGGAAGUACAUUGCUCUAAUAAAAUCCUAACAUUUCUCUUUUGCAAUUAAAUCAAUUUAUUAUUGCUCUCU
Molecule: non-coding RNA, 537 nt
Organism: Protopterus annectens (West African lungfish)
Lineage: Eukaryota; Metazoa; Chordata; Ceratodontiformes; Protopteridae
Source: the annotation of a RefSeq genome assembly